Non-coding RNA from Cricetulus griseus (Chinese hamster), 1319 nucleotides. Lineage: Eukaryota; Metazoa; Chordata; Mammalia; Rodentia; Cricetidae. The record is from RefSeq and is a predicted model, not a curated record.
GAGAUCAGCACUGGUUACUGCAGAAGUGGUCAGCAGAGGUGCCACGUCAGCUGGGGCCUGCAGAGCAGUGGUUCCUCCUGCCCUGGCCCACCAACCUGGCUGGGAAGGCAUGCGUGUGUGCAGGAGCUGACUGACACACUGCUUACAUUUCUAUGCAAGCCUUGGUCAUCAGUCCUGAGAGAGCUUAUCUGAGCUGCAGAGGGAAACUGAUGCUUGCGCCUGAGCUUGCCUAGGGUAAUAGAGACCGAAGGGCCUGCUUUGGAGCAUCCUUCCUGUCUGUGGGCUGUGGGUGACCACAUCCUAGCCUUCCAGGAAGGCAGGAUGCUGGUCCUCUUGCAGACAGCAAGUUGAACUCAGACUCUCCGCUUAGCCUCUCCUAACUUUCCUGCUCCCCCUGUGUGCCCUUCCCAGUGGUGAUUUCUUUUUUCCCCUAUUUGGUUUUUGAGACAAGCUAGCCUCAGACUCAGUGUAGCUGAGGGUAACCUGGAGCUGCUGACCCUUCUGCCCCCACCUUCCCCAGUGCUGGGUAGAUUUGGAGGGCAGAACUCCAAAAAUUUUUCCCAUUGGUGUACGAGUAAGUGCAAGGAUCUGGGCAAUCAGCAACCUUCCCUUAGACACCCUCCCUAGGUUGUCUCCUGCUGGAAACAAGGGUCCUGGGGAGAUUGGGGAGAAGAGUUUACUGGGGAGAGCGGUGCUCAUGCAAGAGUACCUGGCAGGGGGACAAAGGAGCAGAGGCCAGCUAGAGACUGGCCCUCUCUCCCUCUGAGCACUGAAUUGCCAGGUCCUACUUGUGUCGAAUGGUGUUCAGUUCCAGUUUGCCAUGAUGGUGGCAUGAUGGACAGGAAUCCAAGCUUCUUCUGUCGCUGUGCAAUCAGCUUCAGUCAUCAUAGUCUCUACCUCGAGGUGCAAUAUGAUUGCUGGUGUUCCUGCCACAUGUCAUCAUUGCAGAAGGCAAGAAGAAAGAAGUAGGGGAAGAGGGGCAUUCUUCAUUUCCGAAGAUGCAUCCUGCCUCAGUUUCUCCAUGUACAUAAGCAAGAGUCCUUGCAAGGGAAGCAGCCUGGAGCUCUCUGUAGGGUCUUCUGCAGAAAUGCUGGACAGAGGAAGAGGAUCACGGUGGGCCACACUGCUCUCCCAGGAGCGCUUCUGGCAUCCAGGACUUUGGACUGGGCUUAGGGAAGGGAGCUGUAGUGCAAAAAGCUGAAGAGGUGAAGGGACCAGCUCCCCAUUUCGGCAGCCAUAACAGCCGGACACGUGCUUUUCUGACCUUUCCUUGGUCACUAGAGGUUAGGUGCCUGCCUGCAAGGAACCAAUCAGAAGUU